AGGACGAACGCUGGCGGCGUGCUUAACACAUGCAAGUCGAACGGUAAGGCCCUUCGGGGUACACGAGUGGCGAACGGGUGAGUAACACGUGGGUAAUCUGCCCUGCACAUCGGGAUAAGCCUGGGAAACUGGGUCUAAUACCGAAUAGGACCACAAGACACAUGUCCUGUGGUGGAAAGCUUUUGCGGUGUGGGAUGGGCCCGCGGCCUAUCAGCUUGUUGGUGGGGUGAUAGCCCACCAAGGCGACGACGGGUA
This 255-nucleotide ribosomal RNA is filed under the name uncultured bacterium. Its description in RNAcentral is "partial small subunit ribosomal RNA". It matches the Rfam family "Bacterial small subunit ribosomal RNA", at positions 26 to 285 of the family's 1533-position model. The record is from RNAcentral.